Molecule: ribosomal RNA, 269 nt
Filed under: uncultured prokaryote
Description: partial 16S ribosomal RNA
Rfam family: Bacterial small subunit ribosomal RNA
Source: RNAcentral
GACAGAGGAGGCAAGCGUUGUUCGGAAUCAUUGGGCUUAAAGCGGGUGUAGGCGGCUGCGCAAGUGUUUUGUGAAAUCCCACGGCUCAACCGUGGAAUGGCAGGGCAAACUGUGCAGCUUGAGGCCGGUAGAGGUGCCUGGAACUCUCGGUGGAGCGGUGAAAUGCGUAGAUAUCGAGAGGAACGCCGGAGGCGAAAGCGGGGCACUGGGCCGGUUCUGACGCUGAGACCCGAAAGCGUGGGGAGCAAACAGGAUUAGAUACCCCCGUA